CUAGCUCUGAUGAGUUAACUCGCUUGGGCUCAGGCGAGUCAUCAAAUGCGUCCAAUCCUGACUCAACUCGGGUCCGCUUAUUACUGUUAUUAUUAUUCUCAGUUUUCAACUCUUUUUUCAUGUUGAGACAAAAGCCUUAACAACUGAUGUGAAGAGAUUUCUCAAAAUUAUAAAAUCCAAGAAUAGGACAAUAGGUGGGGGCUAGUGGGGUAACUACUCUAGGCACAAAGUCUAGAAAGAUAAAAUGAGCUUUGGAAAAAAAAAGAGGGAAGGGCAAAAGAGAGAUAUUAGCUUUUGGUAGUUGUAAGUCCUUGUUUGGUUAUAGGAAAGAAGAAAGAGAGAGAAGAGGGAAAAAUAUUUUGAAGCAAUGAAGGAGAUAAGGAAGGGGAAGAUAGUUUAUAUAGUGGGAGAGAAAAGGAGGGGGACCAAAGGGUGAGAGGGAUAAGAUUUGGUUGUGUGUGUGAGAGAAGGAAGAGAGAGAAGGGGAGAAACGAGACAAAAGAUGCUGUUUUCAGGUUGAGAUGCAAAGGUGGAGAGAAGUGGAGCUGGCAAUUAUAGUAGUCCCAUCUUAAGUAUUCGUUUGGCCAUAAAACAAAUGUUUAUUUUCUAGGGAUUAUUUUUCUUUUUUAAAUUAAAAAAUUAGUGUUUGGCUUUUAUUUAAGUACACAUAUGUCCAUAUUGAUAGGGUUUACAACACACAGUAUUUUACCAAAGAGCAACAUAUUCAAUAUAUUUAUUUUCAUAAUAAAACCAAAUAUGAAGGAUAAAGUGCAUAAAAUUUAUAUUUCUACGUUAACAGAUACAUAGAGUAGAGAGAUUGUUUUCAAUAAAUUUUUGGCUAAAACUAAAGUAAUUGGUUAGAAAAAAAUUAAUAUAAAAAUAAGAGAUAAUAAAAAAUAACACAAUAAAUACUGACAGAAAAAAGAUUACCACAAAGUAGUGUUAUAAUUAAUUUAUCUGAAACAACAACAUUAUCAAAACUUCAAAACUAAAGACACUACGGAAUCAUUUGAUGGAUAUACAGAAUAAAUAAUUUCAAAAUAAAAUGAAAAAUUAUUUUAUUUCAUAUUUGAUGUGAGGUAUUAAUUAGUAUCGAAAUUCCAUAAAAGUCAUCCUCAUCUUUUCCUAAUAACUUCAUUAAUUUACCUCUUUUAUCCCUAUCAGCACAUUCAUCGUCGCCGUUUUCAAUUUUACUACUUUUGUCCUCUGGGAUACAAGGAACUUUAUAGCACCGCGCUGCAUUUUAUACUGUACGGCUACUCUAUUACAUCAUCAUUAAUUUUUUAUUACUUUCUCCGUUUCAUUUGGUGUGAUCAUUUUUUUUAAUUCAUUUUAAAAAACAUAUCAUACUUUUUUAUUUAAUAAAUAUUUAAAAACAUAAUUACAUCUUUAUCUUUAUUAAACCCACUUAAUUAAAAAUAAAUAGCGACACAUUUUUAAUAAAAGACAACCUGAUAAAUAUUUUUUAUUUUUUUAAUUUUGUGCCCGAUCAAAUAACACAUAAAAUGAGAGGGAGAGGGAGUACUAAAUACUACCCUUCUCUACUAGUAUAUGACUUGUGAAUCACAUAAAUUAUGUAUAUUUCUUUUGUAAAAUAGAAAAAUAUCACACAAACGUAAGAGCAACGAAUCAAUAGGAGUACAAAGGAGAAAAUCGUCUUUCUUUGUUUUCCUCGCAUUAAAAACAGAAUUUAUACUGAUAAUAUAUUCAAUACUGUAUAAUAGCGCAUGGCAGAAAACAGAAAUACAAUUUGUUUGUUCUAGCAACUUUCUUUGCUUCAAUAAUUAAAUGGGCUAAAAUUAAGCUAAUUGUGUGUGAGUAAUUCUACUGUAUUUUUGGCACUUGGCUGGGUAGACAGUUCAAAUGAGCAAAUUAUAUAAGGAUGAUGUAAAAUUUCCAAAUUCUACCAUCUGAAAACACUUGAUUCUAAAGUAUUGAAUUUCAAAUUUAGCUUUCCUAUUUUUAUGCUGUGCUGCUUUCUGGUUUUCAGAUGUACAAACUAACGCUACCAUUCACAUAACCAAAAAAGUUUCAUCAGUUCAUAGAGCGGGUAAGGAUUCCUGCCGCCAUGAAAAUUCAGAAAAAUCCGACGGCUCCGGGUAAUCAAACAACCCGCCGACUGUUAAAAAGUCGCCGUUGCUAUUACCUCCGUCAUUAUCUCCUUCCCUGAGGUCAUGCUCCAUGCCAAAAUCGAACGUGUCGUAAUUAGGCAUAUCGUCCUCAAAUCUCGCCAUGUUAACGAAUUCAGCUGCCUCAGGCAUGACGUCAGAUUCGGCAUUAACGUUGUGAUCGUUUACCGGAGAUAUUGUCGGAGGUAGACCGAGCUCAUCGUCGGAAGCUUCGAGAAGGUAACCGAGGUCCGUUUGAGAUUCGCCGGAUUCCGAUGGAUUCAGAUCGAGAACGGUCUGAGAAUCGUCGUGAAGAGGUGAGUGAUGAAGGAUUUCUUCCUCAAAACUCUUCAUGACGGAAUCCAGAUCCUGAAUCUCCGGCGGACAUUCGUUCAGAGCAUCAGGCUCAUCUAAGAUAUCCAAUAUAUCUUCUCUUAUCUGCUUAGCCUCCGGCGAAUCCAGGUACACAUCUUUUCGCACGUCAUCGGAAUCCGAUGAGUUGACUCGGUUCAACUCAGACGAGUCGGGAGCGGUCUUCUCUAGCUCUGAUGAGUUAACUCGCUUGGGCUCAGGCGAGUCAUCAAAUGCGUCCAAUCCUGACUCAAUUCGGGUCCGCUUAUUACUGUUAUUAUUUUUCUCAGUUUUCAACUCUUUUUUCAUGUUGAGACAAAAGCCUUAACAACUGAUGUGAAGAGAUUUCUCAAAAUUAUAAAAUCCAAGAAUAGGACAAUAGGUGGGGGCUAGUGGGGUAACUACUCUAGGCACAAAGUCUAGAAAGAUAAAAUGAGCUUUGGAAAAAAAAAGAGGGAAGGGCAAAAGAGAGAUAUUUGCUUUUGGUAGUUGUAAGUCCUUGUUUGGUUAUAGGAAAGAAGAAAGAGAGCGAAGAGGGAAAAAUAUUUUGAAGCAAUGAAGGAGAUAAGGAAGGGGAAGAUAGUUUAUAUAGUGGGAGAGAAAAGGAGGGGGACCAAAGGGUGAGAGGGAUAAGAUUUGGUUGUGUGUGUGAGAGAAGGAAGAGAGAGAAGGGGAGAAACGAGACAAAAGAUGCUGUUUUCAGGUUGAGAUGCAAAGGUGGAGAGAA
Molecule: long non-coding RNA, 3186 nt
Filed under: Capsicum annuum
Lineage: Eukaryota; Viridiplantae; Streptophyta; Magnoliopsida; Solanales; Solanaceae
Description: long non-coding RNA (CANN_LNC003996)
Source: RNAcentral